CGCGUAGGCGGCCUUCUAAGUCGAACGUGGAAUCCCUGGGCUCAACCCAGGAACUGCGUCCGAGACUGGUGGGCUCGAAUCCGGGAGAGGGAUGUGGAAUUCCAGGUGUAGCGGUGAAAUGCGUAGAUAUCUGGAGGAACACCGGUGGCGAAGGCGACAUCCUGGACCGGUAUUGACGCUGAGGCGCGAAAGCCAGGGGAGCAAACGG
RNAcentral lists this ribosomal RNA (208 nucleotides) under uncultured bacterium. Its description in RNAcentral is "partial 16S ribosomal RNA". It matches the Rfam family "Bacterial small subunit ribosomal RNA", at positions 568 to 775 of the family's 1533-position model. The record is from RNAcentral.